Molecule: long non-coding RNA, 196 nt
Organism: Hippoglossus stenolepis (Pacific halibut)
Lineage: Eukaryota; Metazoa; Chordata; Actinopteri; Pleuronectiformes; Pleuronectidae
Exons: 3
Source: RefSeq, a predicted model, not a curated record
AGUUGUGUUGGUUGUUUGGCUUCAGCUUUAAAAAUGGCUUCUGGACUUUGUGUGAGGGUGCUCUUGCUCUCACUCUUAGCCUUUGGGCCACAUGCUGAGGCUCUGAGCUACAGAAGUGGAGGCUCCAGUGGAGUUGCACCGUACUUUAAGUCACCCAGUGAUUUGCUCGGAGACCAAAAUUCAGGUUUAGCCUCUU